CGGGACGUAGCUCAGCCCGGUUAGAGUACACGUCUGGGGGGCGUGUGGUCGCUAGUUCGAAUCUAGUCGUCCCGACCU
This 78-nucleotide transfer RNA is filed under the name Chitinophagaceae bacterium. Its description in RNAcentral is "tRNA-Pro". It matches the Rfam family "tRNA". Rfam says of the family: Transfer RNA (tRNA) molecules are approximately 80 nucleotides in length. Their secondary structure includes four short double-helical elements and three loops (D, anti-codon, and T loops). Lineage: Bacteria; Pseudomonadati; Bacteroidota; Chitinophagia; Chitinophagales; Chitinophagaceae. The record is from RNAcentral.